Rhagoletis zephyria (snowberry fruit fly) is the source of this 153-nucleotide long non-coding RNA. RefSeq lists it as uncharacterized. Lineage: Eukaryota; Metazoa; Arthropoda; Insecta; Diptera; Tephritidae. The record is from RefSeq and is a predicted model, not a curated record.
CGAAGGACCAGUAUGUUAAACCGGCACAACGCUUGAGCAAGGUCGUGGCCGAUUAAAUUUGUUGGAAUGAGAAAUAAAGCAAAAACGUUACCUUUGAUUUGACUCAGGAACACAAUGGCUGGAACACGUCCUCUUGGAUUCACUCUCGGAAAA